This 213-nucleotide ribosomal RNA is filed under the name Triticum aestivum (bread wheat). Its description in RNAcentral is "partial small subunit ribosomal RNA". Lineage: Eukaryota; Viridiplantae; Streptophyta; Magnoliopsida; Poales; Poaceae. The record is from RNAcentral.
UUAAGCUGGAACUGCCGGUGAGGGGGAAAUACCCGGACAGUUCGUGAACUUGCAACGUUAUGUAAGUCGCAUUCCCCCACUAUGGUCUUUCUGUGUGAAACCAGGCAUAAACAGAAGAUGAGGAGGAUUCGGGGCCAUUUAGGCCUCAAUGGCUUCUGUGGUGCAGAUAGUGAUGGAAUGAGUGGUGGUCUAGCCCUGUUCUGUCAUGAAUCC